UCUGGUAGUGCUUUUAAUUAGAGUAGAAAGAGAAUGGCGAUACUCGUUAUUUACUGUUAAAAUAAUAGAACUAAGUAUAUCUCAAGUUCAAAUUCUAGCAGAGACAAAAGGUACUAGGUGGACAGAGUUACCAGUACCUGUUGUUGGUGGGAGGUGGCAAGUAUCCCGUGGAAUUAGUCGAGGUGCGUGAAAGAUAUAGCCUGGAUACCUUGGUUCCAAAAGAAAAAAAAAAGUAAGAAAAUUAAUCUGGGAAUUGAGUGACGUGUAUAAAAUCCUUGGAAAAGUAAAAAUAAAGAAUGUGGAAUCAUUUAAUUACUUCUUAUGGAUUAUAGUCUCUUUUUUUGUAUUUAUUCUGUUCCUGUUGGGUCUUCGGGAGGGCGACCGGCAGAUGUUCC
RNAcentral lists this long non-coding RNA (395 nucleotides) under Capsicum annuum. RNAcentral's name for it is "long non-coding RNA (CANN_LNC007791)". Lineage: Eukaryota; Viridiplantae; Streptophyta; Magnoliopsida; Solanales; Solanaceae. The record is from RNAcentral.